CAUGGCUCAGAUUGAACGCUGGCGGGAUGCUUUACACAUGCAAGUCGGACGGCAGCACGGACUUCGGUCUGGUGGCGAGUGGCGAACGGGUGAGUAAUGUAUCGGAACGUGCCCAGUAGCGGGGGAUAACUACGCGAAAGCGUGGCUAAUACCGCAUACGCCCUACGGGGGAAAGCGGGGGACCUUCGGGCCUCGCACUAUUGGAGCGGCCGAUAUCGGAUUAGCUAGUUGGUGGGGUAACGGCUCACCAAGGCAACGAUCCGUAGCUGGUUUGAGAGGACGACCAGCCACACUGGGACUGAGACACGGCCCAGACUCCUACGGGAGGCAGCAGUGGGGAAUUUUGGACAAUGGGGGCAACCCUGAUCCAGCCAUCCCGCGUGUGCGAUGAAGGCCUUCGGGUUGUAAAGCACUUUUGGCAGGAAAGAAACGGCGCCGGCUAAUACCUGGCGCUAAUGACGGUACCUGCAGAAUAAGCACCGGCUAACUACGUGCCAGC
This 499-nucleotide ribosomal RNA is filed under the name Bordetella trematum. Its description in RNAcentral is "bacterial SSU rRNA". It matches the Rfam family "Bacterial small subunit ribosomal RNA", at positions 18 to 512 of the family's 1533-position model. Lineage: Bacteria; Pseudomonadati; Pseudomonadota; Betaproteobacteria; Burkholderiales; Alcaligenaceae. The record is from RNAcentral.